Molecule: long non-coding RNA, 671 nt
Organism: Balaenoptera acutorostrata (minke whale)
Lineage: Eukaryota; Metazoa; Chordata; Mammalia; Artiodactyla; Balaenopteridae
Exons: 4
Source: RefSeq, a predicted model, not a curated record
GCCGGGCCGUCGGGCGGGAAAAUUUUUCCGCGCAGGAGGAGGGUUUAUCCAGUGUGGAUACCCAACCGCCCCUCCACCCGGUGUCAAGAGUACACGGUCAGCGCUGAGCUGCGGGUGUAGCCCAAAGGACUUGAGACCUCGUGUUCUGGGAGAGGACAGAGCUCACCGUCUCCAGCUGAGGAAGAGUAAGGUCAGCCAUGGUGGAGUUUUACUCACAGAGUGUCGUAAUUUUGGAUCUGUCUUAAGAUGAUCACAUACUUCAACUUGAAGGCUAAACUAGAAACAGACUACAAAAGACAAGGACUACUUUACUCUAAACGCAUAAGUGAGGUUUGAAUUAAAAUGACUGUGAAGUACAGCUAUCUAGCAACUAUAAGAGAUGUCACCCAGAAGAUGAGAACGAUAUAGAGAAGCAAGCUGUUGCUUUUCUUCACGGAGGACACAGAGGACCAUCCAAGGCAGCCCUGUCAUGCCCCUCCUACCCACCCACCUCACCAUGGUUUGGGGCCGCAUCCUGAAUGUAUGCGUUCCUCAAGGACAGUAGCUCCCACAGGCCAAGAAGCAUCUGGCCGUGUGGGUGAUAUAUUCUCCAGCCUCUCCAAAGUUGUGUAGAUUUCCGUUCUCUGUUGAUGUUCUUCAUCUUGUCAUCUAUGUUUUGUGCACACUAAUGG